RNAcentral lists this ribosomal RNA (2900 nucleotides) under Klebsiella pneumoniae. RNAcentral's name for it is "bacterial LSU rRNA". It matches the Rfam family "Bacterial large subunit ribosomal RNA". The record is from RNAcentral. Lineage: Bacteria; Pseudomonadati; Pseudomonadota; Gammaproteobacteria; Enterobacterales; Enterobacteriaceae.
UUAAGCGACUAAGCGUACACGGUGGAUGCCCUGGCAGUCAGAGGCGAUGAAGGACGUGCUAAUCUGCGAAAAGCGUCGGUAAGGUGAUAUGAACCGUUAUAACCGGCGAUGUCCGAAUGGGGAAACCCAGUGCAAUUCGUUGCACUAUCGUUAACUGAAUACAUAGGUUAACGAGGCGAACCGGGGGAACUGAAACAUCUAAGUACCCCGAGGAAAAGAAAUCAACCGAGAUUCCCCCAGUAGCGGCGAGCGAACGGGGAGCAGCCCAGAGUCUGAAUCAGCUUGUGUGUUAGUGGAACGGUCUGGAAAGUCCGACGGUACAGGGUGAUAGUCCCGUACACCAAAAUGCACAGGCUGUGAACUCGAAGAGUAGGGCGGGACACGUGGUAUCCUGUCUGAAUAUGGGGGGACCAUCCUCCAAGGCUAAAUACUCCUGACUGACCGAUAGUGAACCAGUACCGUGAGGGAAAGGCGAAAAGAACCCCGGCGAGGGGAGUGAAAAAGAACCUGAAACCGUGUACGUACAAGCAGUGGGAGCACCUUCGGGUGUGACUGCGUACCUUUUGUAUAAUGGGUCAGCGACUUAUAUUCUGUAGCAAGGUUAACCGUAUAGGGGAGCCGCAGGGAAACCGAGUCUUAACUGGGCGUUAAGUUGCAGGGUAUAGACCCGAAACCCGGUGAUCUAGCCAUGGGCAGGUUGAAGGUUGGGUAACACUAACUGGAGGACCGAACCGACUAAUGUUGAAAAAUUAGCGGAUGACUUGUGGCUGGGGGUGAAAGGCCAAUCAAACCGGGAGAUAGCUGGUUCUCCCCGAAAGCUAUUUAGGUAGCGCCUCGUGAACUCAUCUUCGGGGGUAGAGCACUGUUUCGGCUAGGGGGUCAUCCCGACUUACCAACCCGAUGCAAACUACGAAUACCGAAGAAUGUUAUCACGGGAGACACACGGCGGGUGCUAACGUCCGUCGUGAAGAGGGAAACAACCCAGACCGCCAGCUAAGGUCCCAAAGUCAUGGUUAAGUGGGAAACGAUGUGGGAAGGCACAGACAGCCAGGAUGUUGGCUUAGAAGCAGCCAUCAUUUAAAGAAAGCGUAAUAGCUCACUGGUCGAGUCGGCCUGCGCGGAAGAUGUAACGGGGCUAAACCAUGCACCGAAGCUGCGGCAGCGACACUAUGUGUUGUUGGGUAGGGGAGCGUUCUGUAAGCCUGCGAAGGUGUGCUGUGAGGCAUGCUGGAGGUAUCAGAAGUGCGAAUGCUGACAUAAGUAACGAUAAAGCGGGUGAAAAGCCCGCUCGCCGGAAGACCAAGGGUUCCUGUCCAACGUUAAUCGGGGCAGGGUGAGUCGACCCCUAAGGCGAGGCCGAAAGGCGUAGUCGAUGGGAAACAGGUUAAUAUUCCUGUACUUGGUGUUACUGCGAAGGGGGGACGGAGAAGGCUAUGUUAGCCGGGCGACGGUUGUCCCGGUUUAAGCAUGUAGGCUGGUUAUCCAGGCAAAUCCGGAUAAUCAAGGCUGAGGUGUGAUGACGAGGCACUACGGUGCUGAAGUAACAAAUGCCCUGCUUCCAGGAAAAGCCUCUAAGCAUCAGGUAACAUCAAAUCGUACCCCAAACCGACACAGGUGGUCAGGUAGAGAAUACCAAGGCGCUUGAGAGAACUCGGGUGAAGGAACUAGGCAAAAUGGUGCCGUAACUUCGGGAGAAGGCACGCUGGUGUGUAGGUGAAGUCCCUGCGGAUGGAGCUGAGACCAGUCGAAGAUACCAGCUGGCUGCAACUGUUUAUUAAAAACACAGCACUGUGCAAACACGAAAGUGGACGUAUACGGUGUGACGCCUGCCCGGUGCCGGAAGGUUAAUUGAUGGGGUUAUCCGUAAGGAGAAGCUCUUGAUCGAAGCCCCGGUAAACGGCGGCCGUAACUAUAACGGUCCUAAGGUAGCGAAAUUCCUUGUCGGGUAAGUUCCGACCUGCACGAAUGGCGUAAUGAUGGCCAGGCUGUCUCCACCCGAGACUCAGUGAAAUUGAACUCGCUGUGAAGAUGCAGUGUACCCGCGGCAAGACGGAAAGACCCCGUGAACCUUUACUAUAGCUUGACACUGAACAUUGAGCCUUGAUGUGUAGGAUAGGUGGGAGGCUUUGAAGCGUGGACGCCAGUCUGCGUGGAGCCAACCUUGAAAUACCACCCUUUAAUGUUUGAUGUUCUAACGUUGGCCCCUGACCGGGGUUGCGGACAGUGUCUGGUGGGUAGUUUGACUGGGGCGGUCUCCUCCCAAAGCGUAACGGAGGAGCACGAAGGUUAGCUAAUCCUGGUCGGACAUCAGGAGGUUAGUGCAAUGGCAUAAGCUAGCUUGACUGCGAGCGUGACGGCGCGAGCAGGUGCGAAAGCAGGUCAUAGUGAUCCGGUGGUUCUGAAUGGAAGGGCCAUCGCUCAACGGAUAAAAGGUACUCCGGGGAUAACAGGCUGAUACCGCCCAAGAGUUCAUAUCGACGGCGGUGUUUGGCACCUCGAUGUCGGCUCAUCACAUCCUGGGGCUGAAGUAGGUCCCAAGGGUAUGGCUGUUCGCCAUUUAAAGUGGUACGCGAGCUGGGUUUAGAACGUCGUGAGACAGUUCGGUCCCUAUCUGUCGUGGGCGCUGGAGAAUUGAGGGGGGCUGCUCCUAGUACGAGAGGACCGGAGUGGACGCAUCACUGGUGUUCGGGUUGUCAUGCCAAUGGCACUGCCCGGUAGCUAAAUGCGGAAGAGAUAAGUGCUGAAAGCAUCUAAGCACGAAACUUGCCCCGAGAUGAGUUCUCCCUGAGACUUUAAGUCUCCUGAAGGAACGUUAAAGACGAUGACGUUGAUAGGCCGGGUGUGUAAGCGCAGCGAUGCGUUGAGCUAACCGGUACUAAUGAACCGUGAGGCUUAACCUU